AAAAAUACUCUUACUUUUUUAUUUUUAAUUUAUUUGGAGAAAUAUCUUUAUAUUUAGUAAUAUUUUGAAUAAUGUUUUUUAGUAAUAGCUUAUUAGUACCGUGAGGUAAUUGAUGAAAUAUUUUGAAAUACUUAUUUUUAUUUAAGUAUAUUUUGUUAGUAGUACCUUUUGUAUCAGGGUUGAUUUAUUUUAUUUAAUUUAU
This 202-nucleotide ribosomal RNA is filed under the name Calopteryx maculata (black-wing damselfly). Its description in RNAcentral is "partial large subunit ribosomal RNA". Lineage: Eukaryota; Metazoa; Arthropoda; Insecta; Odonata; Calopterygidae. The record is from RNAcentral.